Molecule: ribosomal RNA, 468 nt
Filed under: uncultured bacterium
Lineage: Bacteria
Description: partial 16S ribosomal RNA
Rfam family: Bacterial small subunit ribosomal RNA
Source: RNAcentral
GACGAACGCUGGCGGCGUGCUUAACACAUGCAAGUCGAACGGAAAGGCCCUGCUUUUGUGGGGUGCUCGAGUGGCGAACGGGUGAGUAACACGUGAGUAACCUGCCCUUGACUUGGGGAUAACUUCAGGAAACUGGGGCUAAUACCGGAUAGGAGCUCCUGCUGCAUGGUGGGGGUUGGAAAGGUUCGGCGGUUGGGGGUGGACUCGCGGCUUAUCAGCUUGUUGGUGGGGUAGUGGCUUACCAAGGCUUUGACGGGUAGCCGGCCUGAGAGGGUGACCGGCCACCUUGGGACUGCGAUACGGCCCAGACUCCUACGGGAGGCAGCAGUGGGGUAUAUUGCACAAUGGGCGGAAGCCUGAUGCAGCAACGCCGCGUGCGGGAUGACGGCCUUCGGGUUGUAAACCGCUUUCGCCUGUGACGAAGCGUGAGUGACGGUAAUGGGUAAAGAAGCACCGGCUAACUACGUG